AGUGAAGAAGUCAACCAAUGCCGCAGGUCGGCCACGGUGUCGUCAGCAAAGAUCAGCAUCGGCAAAGCCCAGUGACGAGCAGCGAAGAGUGGCAAGGCGAACCAAUGCCGCGGCCCAGUCAACCGUCUGUUGGGUCAUACUUAAACCCUUUCCAAAUGUCACACGUCAUGUGUUCUCUUAAGGGUUCACUCUAGCAAAACAUCACAUGAUGUUUUUCCAGACAGAUUCCAGAAAAACGCCGUGUGUUUGUUCUCAGCAAAACAUUCUCUCAUGUGUCUGCUUCAACAAAACAUCCUCUCAUGAGACAGUUUCCAGGAAAAAAAAUCACAUGACACAACAGAGUCUCCAAAGGAACUGGAAGUUUCUACUUCGCUUCCCCAGCAAAUCCCCAGUAUGGGGUAAGAGGUCAUCCACCCCAUCUGGGCUGCAAUUUUGUCUGUUGUGAUCUUGUGCAGGUGGCCACAACUUCUUUGAGCUCACAAAUGUGACAGCCACGGCGUGUCCAGAAGGUAGCAUGUUGCAGCAUGCCUCCCUACCCUUUGGCUUUUCUGCUUUGUCUUCCUUGAUGUUCUCUGAGCCUUUGGUUGGGUGAAGAGUUGACAAAGGCAUUCUGUUUGGCGCCUUGCCAUGGAUAUCGAGUUUUCAUACUGUCAUUUGUUACAAAGACUGUAUGUACUUUUCCAUUGAGCUUCCUGGGGGCCUUUAUCAGAAAUCAGCUAUGUACCUGUGAAGAUUGGUUUCUGGACACUUCAUCCACGGAUACUGUCCUCUGUGUACAUCUGAGAUGAACAGUGCAAUGUCUGAAGCUCUUUGUUGGCUCACAUCAGAACGGCAAAGACGAAUGGCCAAUCCUACAACACUCCCUAAGUAUUGGAAGGAGACAAUGACGCCCGUUGGUCACCCAAAGCAGACAGGGUCUCACUACAUAGCUCUACUUGGCCUGGACUUGGCUUUUUAGACCAGAGUAACCUUGAACUCACAGACAUCCACCUGCCUUGGGAUUAAAGGCACCGAUAGGAUAUUGUACUCGUUGAAUGGACCUGAAUAGGCACAAGACAUCAAAACCAAGUUCUCGGCACAAAGGAGGUUUAUUUGCCCCAGAAGAGCAGAGAAUAAGAGAAAAGAUAGAAAUGAAGCACAAGGAAGAAAGGAAAAGAGAAUCAAGCCAGUGGGAUUUUCUCAUUAGAUGGUUACCGUGGGAACACAGAGGACAAUCAGCGGUGACGACUGCAUACACUGGAUUGUGGAAAGAAGAGUGUCUCAUGGACCAACUGGUGAAGAGAUGCAGUCGUGGGCAUCUUAAAAGGGCCACUGGUUGCUUCUCGGCAUGCGACAAGAUGCUGGGGCUCCCAACAUGCUCCUAACUGCAAGACCUCACUGGAAUGUGGAGGAGUCCUUUCUGCUUAAACUUGGUUGAAGAGGAUAGAGAUCCUCUUUCUCCAAAUGCAUGCUGAGGUUUACUCCUGAGGUGCAUGCACACUGGGAAGCUUCCAGAACUUCAGUGGCAAAGACACUGACAUCAUGGGCAAUGCUGUCUGAUCAUGCAGGGCAGGUAUUCCAAGGAUUGUUUAUGACAAACCGUACUGAGUCAUGCACACUUAAGAUUUAUGCAGUGCUUGACCACUGAGAUCUCAUUUCGUGAGGUCUCAAGAGCCUCAAGAUGCUUCCGGAUGGUUCGGUUUUCUGCUGUUACAGCAAAAGAAGCUUAAGCAUAAUCCUGGCAUAGGUUUCAGCCUUGCAUCUUGGCUGAAUUUUGGAAGGAGUUUUCAUCUUCCUUAUUCUUUCUUCUCCCAGGAAGGACUCCCUGGACCCUGUACAUUCUUCAUCUAGACUUGUUGCCCUAGGAAACUGAACACAGCUAUGAGUUUUGCUGGCUCCAAUCCUGUGUUUUUUUCUGGCAACUUUCACAGGUACUGGAGACAGAUGGCCAAGGAGUCAGAAGUUUGGUCCCAAAAGGAAGGCUGGAGACAAACAAAACAUGUCCUGAGAGUGCAGGGGAAAACAGCAGUCAUUUCUGUUCACAGUGCUUAAGAUCUCAUAGCCACCUUACGCUUGAAAUCGCAUCCUUGGCUUUCCAUGAGCUUAGAUGAUUACGGUCACCUUUCAGUUCAGUAGUUUUUCAAAUAGAUUCCCAUAAUGCAUCUGUUAGCAGAUGCCGUAGCAAUGGAAAUCUCAUUUGAAAAGAUCAUCUCUACACAAUGCAGAGCCUGAUGUGUACUGGUGUUUCUACUAAUUCACUAUAGACCAUCAGGUUUUCCACCUUCUAUAUUAAAUCUAGAUAUAAUUCAUCAAUUAAAAAUGCCUUUCCUCUUAGAGACA
Long non-coding RNA from Rattus norvegicus (Norway rat), 2319 nucleotides. RefSeq lists it as uncharacterized. The record is from RefSeq and is a predicted model, not a curated record. NCBI's taxonomy places the organism in Eukaryota, Metazoa, Chordata, Mammalia, Rodentia, Muridae.